UACGAAGGGGGCAAGCGUUGUUCGGAAUUACUGGGCGUAAAGGGCGCGUAGGCGGCUUAUCAAGUCAGGCGUGAAAUUCACGGGCUCAACCUGGGGGCUGCGCUUGAUACUGAUUGGCUUGAAUGCGGGAGAGGAUAGUGGAAUUCCCAGUGUAGAGGUGAAAUUCGUAGAUAUUGGGAAGAACACCGGUGGCGAAGGCGGCUAUCUGGCCCGUAAUUGACGCUGAGGCGCGAAAGCGUGGGGAGCAAACAGG
Molecule: ribosomal RNA, 253 nt
Filed under: uncultured bacterium
Lineage: Bacteria
Description: partial 16S ribosomal RNA
Rfam family: Bacterial small subunit ribosomal RNA
Source: RNAcentral